UGGGGAAUAUUGGACAAUGGGCGAAAGCCUGAUCCAGCCAUGCCGCGUGUGUGAAGAAGGUCUUCGGAUUGUAAAGCACUUUAAGUUGGGAGGAAGGGCAGUAAGCGAAUACCUUGCUGUUUUGACGUUACCGACAGAAUAAGCACCGGCUAACUCUGUGCCAGCAGCCGCGGUAAUACAGAGGGUGCAAGCGUUAAUCGGAAUUACUGGGCGUAAAGCGCGCGUAGGUGGUUCGUUAAGUUGAAUGUGAAAGCCCCGGGCUCAACCUGGGAACUGCAUCCAAGACUGGCGAGCUAGAGUAGGGCAGAGGGUGGUGGAAGUUCCUGUAUAGCGGUGAAAUGCGUAGAUAUAGGAAGGAACACCAGUGGCGAAGGCGACCACCUGGGCUCAUACUGACACUGAGGUGCGAAAGCGUGGGGAGCAAACAGG
This 429-nucleotide ribosomal RNA is filed under the name Pseudomonadota bacterium. Its description in RNAcentral is "Proteobacteria bacterium partial 16S ribosomal RNA". It matches the Rfam family "Bacterial small subunit ribosomal RNA", at positions 355 to 776 of the family's 1533-position model. Lineage: Bacteria; Pseudomonadati; Pseudomonadota. The record is from RNAcentral.